UACGAAGGGGGCUAGCGUUGCUCGGAAUCACUGGGCGUAAAGGGUGCGUAGGCGGGUCUUUAAGUCAGGGGUGAAAUCCUGGAGCUCAACUCCAGAACUGCCUUUGAUACUGAAGAUCUUGAGUUCGGGAGAGGUGAGUGGAACUGCGAGUGUAGAGGUGAAAUUCGUAGAUAUUCGCAAGAACACCAGUGGCGAAGGCGGCUCACUGGCCCGAUACUGACGCUGAGGUGCGAAAGCGUGGGGGAGCAAACAGGG
This 255-nucleotide ribosomal RNA is filed under the name uncultured bacterium. Its description in RNAcentral is "partial 16S ribosomal RNA". It matches the Rfam family "Bacterial small subunit ribosomal RNA", at positions 524 to 777 of the family's 1533-position model. The record is from RNAcentral.